RNAcentral lists this ribosomal RNA (810 nucleotides) under uncultured bacterium. RNAcentral's name for it is "bacterial SSU rRNA". It matches the Rfam family "Bacterial small subunit ribosomal RNA", at positions 8 to 796 of the family's 1533-position model. The record is from RNAcentral.
AGAGUUUGAUCCUGGCUCAGGACUAACGCUGGCGGCACGCCUAACACAUGCAAGUCGCACGAGAAACUUCGUAGCAAUACGGGGCGGUAAAGUGGCGAACGGGUGAGUAAUGCAUGGGUGACCUGUCCUCAAGAUGGGAAUAACCUCGCGAAAGCGGGGCUAAUACCCAAUGUCAUCCCGGUCUUUCGGGAUCGGGAUGAAAGAUAGCUGUUACAGGCUUUUGCUUGAGGAGGGGCCCAUGUCCCAUCAGCUAGUUGGUAGGGUAACGGCCUACCAAGGCUAUGACGGGUAGCUGGUCUGAGAGGACGACCAGCCACACUGGCACUGAGACACGGGCCAGACUCCUACGGGAGGCAGCAGUGAGGAAUCUUGCGCAAUGGACGAAAGUCUGACGCAGCGAUGCCGCGUGGGGGAUGAAGGCCUUCGGGUUGUAAACCCCUUUUAGUGGGAAAGAAACACCCGGAUGUUAACAGCGUCCGGGCUUGACGGUACCCACAGAAUAAGCCACGGCUAACUCUGUGCCAGCAGCCGCGGUAAGACAGAGGUGGCAAGCGUUGUCCGGAAUUACUGGGCGUAAAGCGCGCGUAGGUGGCUAGAUAAGUCCGGUGUGAAAUCCUUCGGCUUAACCGGGGAAUGGCAUCGGGGACUGUUUAGCUAGAGGACGGGAGAGGAGAGCGGAAUUCCCGGUGUAGCGGUGAAAUGCGUAGAGAUCGGGAGGAAGGCCGGUGGCGAAGGCGGCUCUCUGGAACGUCCCUGACGCUGAGGCGCGAAAGCGUGGGGAGCAAACAGGAUUAGAUACCCUAGUAGUCC